AAUGUAAAUAUCUUCAUAUAAAAGCUACAGAGAAUCAUUCUCAGAAACUACUUUGUGAUGUGUGCGUUCAACUCACAGAGUUUAACCUUUCUUUUAAUUGAGCAGUUUGGAAACACUCUGUCUGUAAAGUCUACAAGUGGUUAUUUGGAUCUCUUUGAGGCCUUCGUUGGAAAAGGGAUUUCUUCAGAUAAUGCUAGACAGAAGAAUUUUCAGUAACUUCUUUGUGUUGUGUCUGUUCAACUCACAGUUUUGAAACUUCCUUUACACAGAGCAGAUUUGAAACACUCUUUUUGUGGAAUUUGCAAGUGCAGAUUUCAAGCGCUUCUAGGCCAAUUGUAGAAAAGGAAGUAUCUUCGUAUAAAAACUAGACAGAAUCAUUCUAAAGAACUACUUUGUGAUGUGUGCAUUCAACUCACAGAGUUUAACCUUUCUUUUCAUAGAGCAGUUUGGAAACACUCUGUUUGUAAAGUCUGCAAGUGCAUAUUUGGACUUCUUUGAGGCCUUCGUUGGAAACGGGAUUUCUUCAUAUAAUGCUAGACAGAAGAAUUCUCAGUAACUACUUUGUGUUGUGUGUAUUCAACUCACAGAGUUGAACCUUCCUUUAGACAGAGCAGUUUUGAAAAACUCGUUGUUGUGGAAUUUGCAAGUGGAGAUUU
This 656-nucleotide long non-coding RNA is filed under the name Homo sapiens (human). RNAcentral describes it as "HSALNT0161654". Lineage: Eukaryota; Metazoa; Chordata; Mammalia; Primates; Hominidae. The record is from RNAcentral.